UCCGGUUGAUCCUGCCGGACCCGACUGCUAUCGGAGUGGGACUAAGCCAUGCGAGUCAACAUAGCAAUAUGUGGCAUACGGCUCAGUAACACGUAGUCAACAUGCCCAGGGGACGUGGAUAACCUCGGGAAACUGAGGAUAAACCGCGAUAGGUCAUCACUUCUGGAAUGGGUAAUGACUUAAAUCUAUAUGGCCCCUGGAUUGGACUGCGGCCGAUCAGGCUGUUGGUGAGGUAAUGGCCCACCAAACCUGUAACCGGUACGGGCUCUGAGAGGAGGAGCCCGGAGAUGGGCACUGAGACAAGGGCCCAGGCCCUAUGGGGCGCAGCAGGCGCGAAACCUCUGCAAUAGGCGAAAGCUUGACAGGGUUACUCUGAGUGAUUUCCGUUAAGGAGAUCUUUUGGCACCUCUAAAAAUGGUGCAGAAUAAGGGGUGGGCAAGUCUGGUGUCAGCCGCCGCGGUAAUACCAGCACCCCGAGUGGUCGGGACGUUUAUUGGGCCUAAAGCAUCCGUAGCCGGUUCUACAAGUCUUCCGUUAAAUCCACCUGCUUAACAGAUGGGCUGCGGAAGAUACUAUAGAGCUAGGAGGCGGGAGAGGCAAGCGGUACUCGAUGGGUAGGGGUAAAAUCCGUUGAUCCAUUGAAGACCACCAGUGGCGAAAGCGGCUUGCCAGAACGCGCUCGACGGUGAGGGAUGAAAGCUGGGGGAGCAAACCGGAUUAGAUACCCGGGUAGUCCCAGCUGUAAACGAU
This 750-nucleotide ribosomal RNA is filed under the name unidentified archaeon. RNAcentral describes it as "bacterial SSU rRNA". It matches the Rfam family "Archaeal small subunit ribosomal RNA", at positions 1 to 761 of the family's 1478-position model. The record is from RNAcentral.